This 465-nucleotide ribosomal RNA is filed under the name Vreelandella stevensii. RNAcentral describes it as "partial 16S ribosomal RNA". It matches the Rfam family "Bacterial small subunit ribosomal RNA", at positions 338 to 795 of the family's 1533-position model. The record is from RNAcentral. Lineage: Bacteria; Pseudomonadati; Pseudomonadota; Gammaproteobacteria; Oceanospirillales; Halomonadaceae.
CCUACGGGUGGCUGCAGUGGGGAAUAUUGGACAAUGGGCGAAAGCCUGAUCCAGCCAUGCCGCGUGUGUGAAGAAGGCCUUCGGGUUGUAAAGCACUUUCAGUGGGGAAGAAAGCCUUGGGGCUAAUACCCUCGAGGAAGGACAUCACCCACAGAAGAAGCACCGGCUAACUCCGUGCCAGCAGCCGCGGUAAUACGGAGGGUGCGAGCGUUAAUCGGAAUUACUGGGCGUAAAGCGCGCGUAGGCGGUCUGAUAAGCCGGUUGUGAAAGCCCCGGGCUCAACCUGGGAACGGCAUCCGGAACUGUCAGGCUAGAGUGCAGGAGAGGAAGGUAGAAUUCCCGGUGUAGCGGUGAAAUGCGUAGAGAUCGGGAGGAAUUCCAGUGGCGAAGGCGGCCUUCUGGACUGACACUGACGCUGAGGUGCGAAAGCGUGGGUAGCAAACAGGAUUAGAUACCCCAGUAGUC